CCUACGGGGGGCAGCAGUGGGGAAUAUUGCACAAUGGGGGAAACCCUGAUGCAGCGACGCCGCGUGAGUGAAGAAGUAAUUCGUUAUGUAAAGCUCUAUCAGCAGGGAAGAAAAUGACGGUACCUGAGUAAGAAGCCCCGGCUAACUACGUGCCAGCAGCCGCGGUAAUACGUAGGGGGCAAGCGUUAUCCGGAUUUACUGGGUGUAAAGGGAGCGUAGACGGUAUGGCAAGUCUGAAGUGAAAGCCCAGGGCUCAACCCUGGGACUGCUUUGGAAACUGUUAGACUAGAGUGCUGGAGAGGUAA
Molecule: ribosomal RNA, 305 nt
Filed under: uncultured bacterium
Lineage: Bacteria
Description: bacterial SSU rRNA
Rfam family: Bacterial small subunit ribosomal RNA
Source: RNAcentral